GCGUGCGGGUGGGCGACGGCGCGCUCGGCGGCCUGCUCCGCCUCCCGGAGCAGUUCGGCGCCGCCCUGCACCUCCCA
This 77-nucleotide transfer RNA is filed under the name Streptomyces galbus. RNAcentral describes it as "tRNA-Ser". The record is from RNAcentral. Lineage: Bacteria; Bacillati; Actinomycetota; Actinomycetes; Kitasatosporales; Streptomycetaceae.